ACUCACUGCACCACCACUGUUUCACCAACAGAGGGUAGCACUACAACACAUUCCUACCCAGCCUGACAGACACAGGCAAUCCGGAAUGACCAGUGAGGAGCUCUAUGGUGAUCUGCAGGACCUGAAGGAAUCAGCCUGUGACCUGACAGAGAUGGAGCCAACCAACUCAUUGUGCUCAACAAUGACAGCCAUGGGAACCUGAGUGCCUUCCUGGGGCCUGCUCUACACUGAGAAACGGCAGUGGCAACAAGCCAUGUCCGACUUUGAAGCGGGAUCAAACUCGACAGCACUGGCCCACGUGAACCUGGCUUGCUGAAGAUCAGGGUGGGAAAAUAUCCGCAGUGGUUGGUGGAUACUCACAUUUUACCAGCCCCCCCAAUUUUUUUCCAGGCCCAUUUUUUCUUCUAUGCUGUACCCCGUCCCGCUUUCACCUCUGUAGCGUUCAGAUUGUUUCUUCUAGAGCUGAAACACACACUAAAAUAAAUAUUAAUGUACCAGCCAAUGCCAAAAUCUACCAGCAUUUGGCUAGUGGCUUGUGUUCAUUUCCCACCCUGCUGAAGAUGGGUCAGAAUUAUGUAGCCAUCAGAAUGUUCAGCAAUGCCUUAAGGGUGGACCCCACCUACAUCAGAGGAUACAGGUAGCCUAGUGGUUAGAGCGUUGGGCCAGUAACGAAAGGUUGGUGGAUCGAAUC
Molecule: long non-coding RNA, 691 nt
Organism: Salvelinus namaycush (lake trout)
Lineage: Eukaryota; Metazoa; Chordata; Actinopteri; Salmoniformes; Salmonidae
Exons: 4
Source: RefSeq, a predicted model, not a curated record